This 497-nucleotide ribosomal RNA is filed under the name uncultured bacterium. RNAcentral's name for it is "partial 16S ribosomal RNA". It matches the Rfam family "Bacterial small subunit ribosomal RNA", at positions 28 to 507 of the family's 1533-position model. The record is from RNAcentral.
GAUGAACGCUGGCGGCGUGCCUAAUACAUGCAAGUCGAGCGAACGGACGAGAAGCUUGCUUUUCUGAUGUUAGCGGCGGACGGGUGAGUAACACGUGGAUAACCUACCUAUAAGACUGGGAUAACUUCGGGAAACCGGAGCUAAUACCGGAUAAUAUUUUGAACCGCAUGGUUCAAAAGUGAAAGACGGUCUUGCUGUCACUUAUAGAUGGAUCCGCGCUGCAUUAGCUAGUUGGUAAGGUAACGGCUUACCAAGGCAACGAUGCAUAGCCGACCUGAGAGGGUGGUAGGCCACACUGGAACUGAGACACGGUCCAGACUCCUAAGGGAGGCAGCAGUAGGGAAUCUUCCGCAAUGGGCGAAAGCCUGACGGAGCAACGCCGCGUGAGUGAUGAAGGUCUUCGGAUCGUAAAACUCUGUUAUUAGGGAAGAACAUAUGUGUAAGUAACUGUGCACAUCUUGACGGUACCUAAUCAGAAAGCCACGGCUAACUACGUG